RNAcentral lists this ribosomal RNA (1430 nucleotides) under uncultured Bordetella sp. Its description in RNAcentral is "partial 16S-23S ribosomal RNA intergenic spacer". It matches the Rfam family "Bacterial small subunit ribosomal RNA". The record is from RNAcentral. Lineage: Bacteria; Pseudomonadati; Pseudomonadota; Betaproteobacteria; Burkholderiales; Alcaligenaceae.
GUUUGAUCAUGGCUCAGAUUGAACGCUGGCGGGGAUGCUUUACAUGCAAGUCGAACGGCAGCACGAACACCCCGGUCUGGUGGCGAGUGCGAACGGUGAGUAAUGUCCGAACGCCUAUAGUAGCGGGGAUAACUACGCGAAAGCGUAGCUAAUACCGCACAUUGUCUGGGGGAAAGCGGGGGACCGUCUCGCACUAUUAGAGCGGCCGAUAUCGGAUUGAACUAGUUGGUGGGUAAUGUCCAUCUGCGGUGAUUGAUCCAGCUGGUUUGAGAGGGACGACCAGCCACACUGGGACUGAGAUACGGCCCAGAUCCGCCGGAGGCAGCAGGGAAUUUCCGACAAUGGGGGAAACCCUGAUCCAGCCAUCCCGCGUGUGCGAUGAAGGCCUUCGGUUGUAAAGCACUUUUGGCAGGAAAGAAAACGGCACGGGAUAAUACCCUGUGCAACCGACGGUACCUGCAGAAUAAGCACCGGCUAACUACGCCAGUGCUGUAAUACGUAGGGUGCAAGGUUAAUUUGAUAAUCAUUGGGUAUGUAUGAUGCGUUCGGAAAGAAAGAUGAAAUCCCAGAGCUUAACUUUGGAACUGCAUUUUUAACUACCGAGCCAGAGUGUGUCAGAGGGAGGUGGAAUUCCGCGCAGUGAAAUGCGUAGAUAUGCGGAGGAACACCGAUGGCGAAAGAAGACAGCUCUCCUGGGAUAACACUGACGCUCAUGCACGCGCCGGGAGCAAACAGGAUUAGAUAUCCAGAACUCAACGCCUCUAAUGAUGUCAACUAGUCUGUCAGCCCGCCUGAGAACGUUCAACGGUGCGAAGCGACCGUCUGGGAGUAAUACGGUCGCGAUUGUGUCCAAAGGAAUUGACGGGGACCCGCACAAGCGGUGGAUGAUGUGGAUUAAUUCGAUGCAACGCGAAAAACUCAUCAACUCCUUGACAUGUCUGGAAUCCCGAAGAGAUUUGGAGGUGUUCAAAGAGAACCCGGUCACAGGCGCCACGCUACUGUCGUCAGCUUCAGUCGAGACGUCGUUGUAGCGUCCCGCAACGAGCGCAACCGUCAACAUUGCUGGCUUAGAAAGGGCACUCUAAUGAUCCUCGCUGGUGAUGUCCAGAUGGUGCGACGCCAUCCCGCCCUGGCACAGGUCACAUCGUCAUACAAUGGUCGGGACAGAGGGUCGCUAACCCAUGAGGGUACGACCAACCCAGAAACCCGAUCAGUCCGGAUCGCAGUUCGCAACUCGACUGGCGUGAAGUCGGAACCCUGCCAGAACACUGCGGAUCAUAUGUCGUAGGAAUGGAGGCUGGUUCCGGUCCAGGCUAUCGCCCGCCUGCCAAGCACCAGCACAGAGGUCGAUUGGUGGUCAAUAUCCGGGCGUUAGAGGGCGAUUACCAUUGCACGUAGGAUCACGACCACGGUGAAACGCAUGAAGGCAA